This 798-nucleotide ribosomal RNA is filed under the name uncultured Bacteroidota bacterium. RNAcentral's name for it is "bacterial SSU rRNA". It matches the Rfam family "Bacterial small subunit ribosomal RNA", at positions 70 to 868 of the family's 1533-position model. Lineage: Bacteria; Pseudomonadati; Bacteroidota. The record is from RNAcentral.
AUUGGAGUAGCAAUACUUCAUGAGAGCGGCGAACGGGUGAGUAACGCGUACACGACCUACCUUUGACUGGGGGAUAGCCCUGGGAAACUGGGAUUAAUACCGCAUAUAAUUCUGAUAAGUAAAGAGAUUGGAAUGAAAGUUCAGGCGGUCAAAGAUGGGUGUGCGUCUGAUUAGCUAGUUGGUAGGGUAACGGCCUACCAAGGCGAUGAUCAGUAGGGGGCGUGAGAGCGUGGUCCCCCACACGGGUACUGAGACACGGACCCGACUCCUACGGGAGGCAGCAGUAAGGAAUAUUGGACAAUGGCCGCAAGGCUGAUCCAGCCAUCCAGCGUGCAGGAAGAAGGCCCUAUGGGUUGUAAACUGCUUUUAUCAGGGAAGAAACCUCUCGAUUCAUCGGGAGCUGACGGUACCUGAAGAAUAAGCACCGGCUAACUCCGUGCCAGCAGCCGCGGUAAUACGGAGGGUGCGAGCGUUAUCCGGAAUUACUGGGUUUAAAGGGUGCGUAGGCGGCUAAGUAAGUCAGGAGUGAAAGUUUGCGGCUCAACCGUAAAAUUGCUUUUGAUACUGCUUAGCUGGAAUUAGGAUGAGGUCAGCGGAAUGUGGCAUGUAGCGGUGAAAUGCAUAGAUAUGCCAUAGAACACCAAUUGCGAAGGCAGCUGGCUAGACCUAUAUUGACGCUGAGGCACGAAAGCGUGGGGAGCGAACAGGAUUAGAUACCCUGGUAGUCCACGCCCUAAACGAUGCUCACUCGACGUAUAGCACUCGAUGCUGUGCGUCCAAGGGAAACCGUUAAGUGAG